UACGUAGGGGGCAAGCGUUGUCCGGAAUUAUUGGGCGUAAAGCGCGCGCAGGCGGUCCAUUAAGUUUGGUGUUUAAGGCCCGGGCUCAACCCGGGUACGCACUGAAAACUGGUGGACUUGAGUACAGAAGAGGAAAGUGGAAUUCCACGUGUAGCGGUGAAAUGCGUAGAGAUGUGGAGGAACACCAGUGGCGAAGGCGACUUUCUGGGCUGUAACUGACGCUGAGGCGCGAAAGCGUGGGGAGCAAACAGG
Molecule: unclassified non-coding RNA, 252 nt
Filed under: uncultured Paenibacillaceae bacterium
Lineage: Bacteria; Bacillati; Bacillota; Bacilli; Caryophanales; Paenibacillaceae
Description: contains 16S-23S intergenic spacer region
Rfam family: Bacterial small subunit ribosomal RNA
Source: RNAcentral